GAACGCUGGCGGCGUGCCUAACACAUGCAAGUCGAACGAGAAAGCGGGCUUCGGCCCGUGAGUAAAGUGGCAGACGGGUGAGUAACACGUGGGUAACCUGCCCGGAGUCGGGGGAUAACCCUCCGAAAGGAGGGCUAAUACCGCAUGAUAUCUCGAGCUCCUCGGCGCACGAGAUCAAAGCUGGCCUCUACAUGUAAGCCAGUGCCACCGGAGGGGCCCGCGCCCCAUUAGCUUGAUGGUGAGGUAACGGCUCACCAUGGCUACGAUGGGUAGCCGGCCUGAGAGGGUGAUCGGCCACACUGGAACUGAGACACGGUCCAGACUCCUACGGGAGGCAGCAGUGAGGAAUUUUGCGCAAUGGGCGAAAGCCUGACGCAGCGACGCCGCGUGGAGGAAGAAGGUCUUCGGAUCGUAAACUCCUGUCAAGAGGGAAGAAUGCCGGCGGGAUGAAUAAGCCCGACGGUUGACGGUACCUCUGGAGGAAGCCCCGGCUAACUCCGUG
Molecule: ribosomal RNA, 502 nt
Filed under: uncultured bacterium
Lineage: Bacteria
Description: bacterial SSU rRNA
Rfam family: Bacterial small subunit ribosomal RNA
Source: RNAcentral